CUUAUGGGAAAAGUCGCUGCUCGUUGCUAAGAACUUCAUCUUUGUUUAAAUACCACUUGUUCGGGUAAUAUAGAUAGUACAUUAAUAGUUUAAUACGCGUAUUAUAGCACCCAGACAUCCAUAACAACUUCUCCUCUUUCUAUGAAAUUCCGACGAAUGACGCUAGUUUAACGUUAGCUAAAUAGCCUGCUAGCUAGCUCAGAAAGGGGCGGGACUUCCUGUUAUACGGAAGCCGGUUGUGGACACUUCCUCAGUUCGCCGCCGGCAGUCAGAGAGCAGACAUGGAUUCUGGCUGCUGCAGUCGUAGGUUUCAAACUUUACAUCGUGGCAGCCAGUAUGAAUCGAUUAGGUCGGUUUGGCUGAAAUUAGGCUGAAAGAUCCCCAGAGAGAAGUCAAACGAUCUGCCCCAUGGAGGCGUGCUGGAGUCCAACCCUCGGUGAGUCCCGUGACCAUGGAGAUGAACCAUCUGAAGACCCAGGGAUCUUAGACUCAAGUUGAAUUCCAGGUAAAAAUGGGAAGACCGAAGAGUUCAGAGUCCUUACUGACCGUUGCUGUGCUUGACAGCUGGUAAACUGUUUUAAAGCUGGACAAACAUCCAAGAUUACUGUGCUUGAGAGCUGGUAAACUGUUUUAAAGCUGGACAAACAUCCAAGAUUACUGUGCUUGAGAGCUGUCAACAUGUGAAGACAGAAGAGUUCAGAGUUUUGGGCCUGACAGGUGGUUGGUUCACGACUCAACAGAUGAGGAAAGUAACUCCUGAUGAUCCUGGUGAUCAGUUCUCUGUAAAGGCGCCUCUACACUUUUUUUUUUUAAUUCAAAUGUCGCCACUGGCUAGAAAGCUGCUGCCCUCGAGCUCCGGAAGAAACCUGGAUGAAGAAGCUGUAUUUUGUUAAUGUAUACAUUGUAUUUGUUAAUAAACUGACUUUAUUCUGCUUCCUGAA
Long non-coding RNA from Acanthopagrus latus (yellowfin seabream), 941 nucleotides. RefSeq lists it as uncharacterized. The record is from RefSeq and is a predicted model, not a curated record. Lineage: Eukaryota; Metazoa; Chordata; Actinopteri; Spariformes; Sparidae. The transcript is spliced from 8 exons.